This 284-nucleotide long non-coding RNA is filed under the name Trifolium pratense (red clover). RNAcentral's name for it is "long non-coding RNA (TPRA_LNC005937)". Lineage: Eukaryota; Viridiplantae; Streptophyta; Magnoliopsida; Fabales; Fabaceae. The record is from RNAcentral.
GAUCUACAUCAUAAACAUCGAAAAAGUAAAGAUUGAACACUUUUUCAUCAAAACUCUCAAGAACACAAAGUUCUUGAGUUUAAUCUUUCAUAAACUCGUUUUUAGCCAUUAUUUUCGUUCAUUAACCAUGUUAAAAGCAUGUUAAACAUAUUAAGAACCUUAGAAACGAUUUCCAUCAAGAAAAUCCAUUCCAAACUAAAACGAAAAUGGGGUGGAGGAAGUUCGGGUGAGGAGAAAUCGACAUUCUCCCCUUCCUCGAGUCACCCACGAAUAUGAAAUCUACU